UAGAGUUUGAUCAUGGCUCAGAGUGACCGUUGGCGGCGUGGAUUAGGCAUGCAAGUCGAGCGAUCGUAGCAAUACGGGAGCGGCAAACGGGGUAGGAAUACAUCGGAACGUACCUUUUGGUUGAGAAUAGCGUUGGGAAACUGACGGUAAUACUCAAUAAAGUCGAGAGACCAAAGGUUUACUGCCGGAAGAGCGGCCGAUGCGAUAUUAGGUAGUUGGUGGGGUAAUGGCCUACCAAGCCUGAGAUGUCUAGGGGGUGUGAGAGCAUGGCCCCCACCACUGGGACUGAGAUACUGCCCAGACACCUACGGGUGGCUGCAGUCGAGGAUCUUCGUCAAUGGGCGAAAGCCUGAACGAGCGACGCCGCGUGCGGGAUGAAGGCCCUUGGGUUGUAAACCGCUGUCAGGGGGGAUGAAACCGUAAGGUUGACAGAGCCCCAGAGGAAGCACGGGCUAAGUUCGUGCCAGCAGCCGCGGUAAUA
Molecule: ribosomal RNA, 481 nt
Filed under: uncultured bacterium
Lineage: Bacteria
Description: bacterial SSU rRNA
Rfam family: Bacterial small subunit ribosomal RNA
Source: RNAcentral